GUCCAGCUGAUGAGUCCCGAAAUAGGAUGAAACGCGUGUCCUGGAU
RNAcentral lists this non-coding RNA (46 nucleotides) under Schistosoma bovis. RNAcentral also lists the same sequence under 1 other name. Lineage: Eukaryota; Metazoa; Platyhelminthes; Trematoda; Strigeidida; Schistosomatidae. The record is from RNAcentral.